This is a small nucleolar RNA of Centropristis striata (black sea bass), 133 nucleotides long. RefSeq annotates it as small nucleolar RNA SNORA13. The transcript has a single exon. The record is from RefSeq and is a predicted model, not a curated record. NCBI's taxonomy places the organism in Eukaryota, Metazoa, Chordata, Actinopteri, Perciformes, Serranidae.
UGCCUUUAUGUGUUGCCCUUUCAUUGUUUCCAUCAUGAAUCGGGUGUCAGAUAAGGCAUACAGAAGAUCUUGUGGUUGUCUUUGGGAGGAGUCUCCAGUGAUUCCCCUGACAGGAACGACUGCAAGGACACAG